RNAcentral lists this ribosomal RNA (105 nucleotides) under uncultured bacterium. RNAcentral's name for it is "partial 16S ribosomal RNA". It matches the Rfam family "Bacterial small subunit ribosomal RNA", at positions 1369 to 1482 of the family's 1533-position model. The record is from RNAcentral.
CGUUCCCGGACCUUGUACACACCGCCCGUCAAGCGAUGGAAGCUGGGAGGACCUGAAGACAGUUGCUGUAAGGCGCUGUUUAGGGUAAAACCGGUGACUGGCGCU